This 521-nucleotide ribosomal RNA is filed under the name Penicillium chrysogenum. RNAcentral's name for it is "eukaryotic LSU rRNA". The stretch from base 182 to 334 matches the Rfam family "5.8S ribosomal RNA". RNAcentral also lists the same sequence under 1 other name. The record is from RNAcentral. Lineage: Eukaryota; Fungi; Ascomycota; Eurotiomycetes; Eurotiales; Aspergillaceae.
CAUUACCGAGUGAGGGCCCUCUGGGUCCAACCUCCCACCCGUGUUUAUUUUACCUUGUUGCUUCGGCGGGCCCGCCUUAACUGGCCGCCGGGGGGCUUACGCCCCCGGGCCCGCGCCCGCCGAAGACACCCUCGAACUCUGUCUGAAGAUUGUAGUCUGAGUGAAAAUAUAAAUUAUUUAAAACUUUCAACAACGGAUCUCUUGGUUCCGGCAUCGAUGAAGAACGCAGCGAAAUGCGAUACGUAAUGUGAAUUGCAAAUUCAGUGAAUCAUCGAGUCUUUGAACGCACAUUGCGCCCCCUGGUAUUCCGGGGGGCAUGCCUGUCCGAGCGUCAUUGCUGCCCUCAAGCACGGCUUGUGUGUUGGGCCCCGUCCUCCGAUCCCGGGGGACGGGCCCGAAAGGCAGCGGCGGCACCGCGUCCGGUCCUCGAGCGUAUGGGGCUUUGUCACCCGCUCUGUAGGCCCGGCCGGCGCUUGCCGAUCAACCCAAAUUUUUAUCCAGGUUGACCUCGGAUCAGGUAG